RNAcentral lists this transfer RNA (70 nucleotides) under Loxodonta africana (African savanna elephant). It matches the Rfam family "tRNA". Rfam says of the family: Transfer RNA (tRNA) molecules are approximately 80 nucleotides in length. Their secondary structure includes four short double-helical elements and three loops (D, anti-codon, and T loops). Lineage: Eukaryota; Metazoa; Chordata; Mammalia; Proboscidea; Elephantidae. The record is from Rfam by way of RNAcentral.
GGAAUGGUGGUUCAGUGGUAGAAUUCUUCACUUCCAUAUAGAGACCCAGGUUUAAUUCCUGGCCAGUGCA